UGCGUAGGCGGGCUAAUAAGUCAGUGGUGAAAUCUCUCGGCUCAACCGGGAAACUGCCAUUGAUACUGUUAGUCUUGAGUUCGGUUGAGGUAGGCGGAAUGUGUAAUGUAGCGGUGAAAUGCUUAGAUAUUACACAGAACACCAAUUGCGUAGGCAGCUUACUAGACCGACACUGACGCUGAGGCACGAAAGCGUGGGGAGCGAACAGGAUUAGAUACCCUGGUAGUCC
RNAcentral lists this ribosomal RNA (229 nucleotides) under uncultured bacterium. RNAcentral describes it as "partial 16S ribosomal RNA". It matches the Rfam family "Bacterial small subunit ribosomal RNA", at positions 568 to 796 of the family's 1533-position model. The record is from RNAcentral.